RNAcentral lists this long non-coding RNA (605 nucleotides) under Cicer arietinum (chickpea). Its description in RNAcentral is "long non-coding RNA (CARI_LNC002285)". Lineage: Eukaryota; Viridiplantae; Streptophyta; Magnoliopsida; Fabales; Fabaceae. The record is from RNAcentral.
AUCACCCAAAAUCCUUUUACAUCUAAAAGUUUUAAACAACUUGAACUCUAGAAAAAACCAUUUAUAUCUUUCGACCUUUAUUAAGCCUUCAUUUUCCUAAAUGAUCCCCAUAUCACUCUUCCAUUUUCUCCACGCUAUCAUCAUUACUUUUUCGUUUUUUCAAAACGAUUUCUUUUCCUAUCAUGAAAAAUAUGGCUAUUUAUACCUCAAUUGUUUUUCAAUUUCCUUAUUUUUUGUUUUAACUCACGUCUCAAACUUCCUAUGUUGUUUUGAAACCUUUUCAAACUCUUAUGCAAUGAAUGAUGAUUUUUCUUCUGGUAGGAAAAGGAACUCACCUUCAUCUCAUGAGAAAAGGAAAUCCAACCAUCUGAAGUUUCCUCGAUGGUGAUUGACAUUCUCCUCGAACAACUUAAAGUUCAGAUAGCUCUGCAAGAUCACCAAAAGUUGGAUCUUCUAAGCUGUCAAAUGGAGGAUGUAGUUGGGGUCUUGAGGAGUGUCUUUAGAUGUCUUUAGAUCAUCUGUCUAAGAUUAGGUUCUCUUAAGUUUAUUUAUUUUCUUUCUUAGCCUUAUUUGUAAUCAUCGUUCUCAUCUCAAUGAAAUGUUAC